UGGGGAAUUUUGCACAAUGGGGGAAACCCUGAUGCAGCGACGCCGCGUGAUUUAGAAGGCCUUCGGGUUGUAAAAAUCUUUUGUAUGGGAAGAAAAUGACAGUACCAUACGAAUAAGGACCGGCUAAUUACGUGCCAGCAGCCGCGGUAAUACGUAAGGUCCGAGCGUUGUCCGGAAUCAUUGGGCGUAAAGGGUACGUAGGCGGAUAAGCAAGUUAGAAGUGAAAUCCUAUAGCUCAACUAUAGUAAGCUUUUAAAACUGCUCAUCUUGAGGUAUGGAAGGGAAAGUGGAAUUCCUAGUGUAGCGAUGAAAUGCGCAGAUAUUAGGAGGAAUACCGGUGGCGAAGGCGACUUUCUGGCCAUAAUCUGACGCUGAGGUACGAAAGCGUGGGUAGCAAACAGG
RNAcentral lists this ribosomal RNA (402 nucleotides) under Verrucomicrobiota bacterium. RNAcentral describes it as "Verrucomicrobia bacterium partial 16S ribosomal RNA". It matches the Rfam family "Bacterial small subunit ribosomal RNA", at positions 355 to 776 of the family's 1533-position model. Lineage: Bacteria; Pseudomonadati; Verrucomicrobiota. The record is from RNAcentral.